This 604-nucleotide long non-coding RNA is filed under the name Chinchilla lanigera (long-tailed chinchilla). RNAcentral's name for it is "lncRNA (ENSCLAG00000026030.1)". Lineage: Eukaryota; Metazoa; Chordata; Mammalia; Rodentia; Chinchillidae. The record is from RNAcentral.
CUGGGACUGAGUGUGUGGAAAAUCAGCUGGUGCAGGGAUUUGCCGUUCUGAACAUUCACGGUGCAACUUGCUCAUGGGCAGUGGUGACAGGCCGGCUAAUGUGAGAACCUUUUCUGCACCCAGCUUCGCUGCAGAGAUGGAUUCAUGGAGCUGAAACGAUUCCAGGAGCCUCGACUAGCAGUCAACUUAGGAGCAAAGUACACAGAAUGUUCUCCAAACCCAGCCAUGUUGUGAGCUGUGUGCCCAGCCCAGGUGCUGCGGUGGGGCCUGGCAACCUGGCUUCCUUCCCCAGAGCAUCAUGAACAGCAGGCGGAGUCUGCACAAAGUCUAACGACGGAGGACGUCUCAUUCCCAGUCACUGAAGUGAGGAGGGAGCGCGCUGCCAAGUCUCAAGUACAUAUUUAAAGCACUAGGAGUUAUAAAGUAUCACGUUAUUAUUUGAAAAAUCUGUGGGAAACUUCUAAAACUACAAAGUACUAUAAUAUUAUUACAAAUUGUAUAAUUAUUAUCAGCUCACAUUAUCAUACCAUAAUCUCUGCUUACUCUAUGUGACAUGUUAUCUUAACUCUCGUUACAUAUUAUCUUACUAUUUCUAAUACUUCAC